CCCACACUGGGACUGAGACACGGCCCAGACUCCUACGGGAGGCAGCAGUGGGGAAUAUUGCACAAUGGGCGAAAGCCUGAUGCAGCGACGCCGCGUGAGGGAUGACGGCCUUCGGGUUGUAAACCUCUUUCAGUAGGGAAGAAGCGAAAGUGACGGUACCUGCAGAAGAAGCGCCGGCUAACUACGUGCCAGCAGCCGCGGUAAUACGUAGGGCGCAAGCGUUAUCCGGAAUUAUUGGGCGUAAAGAGCUCGUAGGCGGUUUGUCGCGUCUGCUGUGAAAGACCGGGGCUCAACUCCGGUUCUGCAGUGGGUACGGGCAGACUAGAGUGCAGUAGGGGAGACUGGAAUUCCUGGUGUAGCGGUGAAAUGCGCAGAUAUCAGGAGGAACACCGAUGGCGAAGGCAGGUCUCUGGGCUGUAACUGACGCUGAGGAGCGAAAGCAUGGGGAGCGAACAGGAUUAGAUACCCUGGUAGUCCAUGCCGUAAACGUUGGGCACUAGGUGUGGGGGACAUUCCACGUUUUCCGCGCCGUAGCUAACGCAUUAAGUGCCCCGCCUGGGGAGUACGGCCGCAAGGCUAAAACUCAAAGGAAUUGACGGA
RNAcentral lists this ribosomal RNA (600 nucleotides) under bacterium enrichment culture clone F56x_D3_T3-_D03. RNAcentral's name for it is "bacterial SSU rRNA". It matches the Rfam family "Bacterial small subunit ribosomal RNA", at positions 307 to 917 of the family's 1533-position model. The record is from RNAcentral.